AAUUACCCAAUCCUGACACAGGGAGGUAGUGACAAGAAAUAACAAUACAGGGCUUAAAGUCUUGUAAUUGGAAUGAUGGGAAUCUAAACCCUUCCCAGAGUAUCAAUUGGAGGGCAAGUCUGGUGCCAGCAGCCGCGGUAAUUCCAGCUCCAAUAGCGUAUAUUAAAGUUGUUGCAGUUAAGAAGCUCGUAGUUGAAUUUCUGCCUUGUCGUUAAAUUCGCUUCCGAGCGUUUUUUUAUUGACUUGGCAUCUUCUGGAUUUGGUUCCCUUCGGGGUUCUAUUUUCCGGGAUUUACUUUGAGAGAACUAGAGUGUUUCAAACAGGCAUUUGCCUUGAAUACUACAGCAUGGAAUAAUGAAGUAGGACUUUGGUUCUAUUUUGUUGGUUAUUGAGCCAGAGUAAUGGUUAAUAGGAGCAGUUGGGGGCAUUCGUAUUUAA
RNAcentral lists this ribosomal RNA (438 nucleotides) under Babesia microti. Its description in RNAcentral is "SSU rRNA". It matches the Rfam family "Eukaryotic small subunit ribosomal RNA", at positions 439 to 901 of the family's 1831-position model. Lineage: Eukaryota; Apicomplexa; Aconoidasida; Piroplasmida; Babesiidae. The record is from RNAcentral.